GACGAACGCUGGCGGCGUGCUUAACACAUGCAAGUCGAACGGAAAGGCCCUGCUUUUGUGGGGUGCUCGAGUGGCGAACGGGUGAGUAACACGUGAGUAACCUGCCCUUGACUUUGGGAUAACUUCAGGAAACUGGGGCUAAUACCGGAUAGGAUCUCCUGCUGCAUGGUGGGGGUUGGAAAGUUUCGGCGGUUGGGGAUGGACUCGCGGCUUAUCAGCUUGUUGGUGGGGUAGUGGCUUACCAAGGCUUUGACGGGUAGCCGGCCUGAGAGGUUGACCGGCGACAUGGGGACUGAGAGACGGCCCAGACUGCUACGGGAGGCAGCAGUGGGGAAUAUUGCACAAUGGGCGGAAGCCUGAUGCAGCAACGCCGCGUGCGUGAUGACGGCCUUCGGGUUGUAAACCGCUUUCGCCUGAGACGAAGCGGGAGUGACGGUAAUGGGUAAAGAAGCACCGGCUAACUACGUG
RNAcentral lists this ribosomal RNA (468 nucleotides) under uncultured bacterium. Its description in RNAcentral is "partial 16S ribosomal RNA". It matches the Rfam family "Bacterial small subunit ribosomal RNA", at positions 28 to 507 of the family's 1533-position model. The record is from RNAcentral.